Molecule: unclassified non-coding RNA, 379 nt
Filed under: uncultured Oligoflexales bacterium
Lineage: Bacteria; Pseudomonadati; Bdellovibrionota; Oligoflexia; Oligoflexales
Description: contains 16S-23S intergenic spacer region
Source: RNAcentral
UCCGUGUUAACCACGGCAGUCUCCUUAGAGAGCCCAACUUAAUGCUGGCAACUAAGGACAAGGGUUGCGCUCGUUGCGGGACUUAACCCAACAUGUCACCACACGAGCUGACGACAGCCAUGCAGCACCUGUCAUCUGGUUGUAUUGCUACAAAGUACGUAUCUCUACGUCGGUCCAGAGAUGUCAAACCCAGGUAAGGUUCUUCGCGUUGCUUCGAAUUAAACCACAUGAUCCACCGCUUGUGCGGGCCCCCGUCAAUUCCUUUGAGUUUUAGUCAUGCGACCGUACUUCCCAGGCGGGGUACUUAUUGCGUUAGCUCCGGCUCGGCAGGGGUCAAAUCCCACCAAGCCUAGUACCCAUCGUUUACAGCGUGGACUAC